AACGAACGCUGGCGGCAGGCUUAACACAUGCAAGUCGAACGGGUGCAGCAAUGCAUCAGUGGCAGACGGGUGAGUAACACGUGGGAACCUUCCUAGGGGUACGGAACAACUCAGGGAAACUUGAGCUAAUACCGUAUACGUCCGUGAGGAGAAAGAUUUAUCGCCCUUAGACGGGCCCGCGUCGGAUUAGCUAGUUGGUGGGGUAACGGCCUACCAAGGCGACGAUCCGUAGCUGAUCUUAGAGGAUGAUCAGCCACACUGGGACUGAGACACGGCCCAGACUCCUGCGGGAGGCAGCAGUGGAGAAUCUUGGACAAUGGGCGCAAGCCUGAUCCAGCCAUGCCGCGUGAGUGAAGAAGGUCUUCGGAUUGUAAACUUCAAUAGUCUAUUAAAAAAUCUUGAUUGAUAGAUGAAAGCCCUGGCUAACCACGUGCCAGCCGCCGCGGUAA
RNAcentral lists this ribosomal RNA (449 nucleotides) under uncultured bacterium. Its description in RNAcentral is "partial 16S ribosomal RNA". It matches the Rfam family "Bacterial small subunit ribosomal RNA", at positions 29 to 523 of the family's 1533-position model. The record is from RNAcentral.